RNAcentral lists this unclassified non-coding RNA (345 nucleotides) under soil metagenome. RNAcentral's name for it is "partial contains 5.8S ribosomal RNA, internal transcribed spacer 2, and large subunit ribosomal RNA". The stretch from base 1 to 120 matches the Rfam family "5.8S ribosomal RNA", at positions 35 to 154 of the family's 154-position model. The record is from RNAcentral.
GAUGAAGAACGCAGCGAAAUGCGAUAACUAAUGUGAAUUGCAGAAUUCCGUGAAUCAUUGAGUCUUUGAACGCACAUUGCGCCCUCUGGUAUUCCGGAGGGCAUGCCUGUCCGAGCGUCAUUGCUGCCCUCAAGCACGGCUUGUGUGUUGGGCCCCGCCCCCCGAUCCCGGGGGGCGGGCCCGAAAGGCAGCGGCGGCACCGCGUCCGGUCCUCGAGCGUAUGGGGCUUUGUCACCCGCUCUGUAGGCCCGGCCGGCGCUUGCCGAUCAACCAAACUUUUUUCCAGGUUGACCUCGGAUCAGGUAGGGAUACCCGCUGAACUUAAGCAUAUCAAUAAGCGGAGGA